RNAcentral lists this small nuclear RNA (262 nucleotides) under Mus caroli (Ryukyu mouse). Its description in RNAcentral is "sRNA (MGP_CAROLIEiJ_G0008454.1)". It matches the Rfam family "7SK RNA". From Rfam's summary of the family: 7SK was discovered as an abundant small nuclear RNA in the mid-70s but a possible function has only recently been suggested. Two independent studies have found that 7SK RNA binds the CDK9/cyclin T complex (known as elongation factor P-TEFb). Lineage: Eukaryota; Metazoa; Chordata; Mammalia; Rodentia; Muridae. The record is from RNAcentral.
AGUGCUCUGGCUGCAACAGUGUCUCCCCAUUGCUUGCCUGGAUUGAUUCAGCUGGUCUGACCGGCUAGGCAGCUGUCCCUCUCAAAGCUGUGCGCUGGGAGGGACCUUCCCAGAAUAGACUAGAGGAGGACCCGUAGAGGAGGACCCGUCUUGGAUCGAGGAUAGAGGAGUAGCAGUGAGAACUUCCAAACAAGUUCUCGAGGUCUACCUGAACUCCUGCCCUGUGUGAGCUCAUCCACAGCAGAGCAAGGAAUGAGGUUUU